Long non-coding RNA from Stylophora pistillata, 1302 nucleotides. RefSeq lists it as uncharacterized. NCBI's taxonomy places the organism in Eukaryota, Metazoa, Cnidaria, Anthozoa, Scleractinia, Pocilloporidae. The record is from RefSeq and is a predicted model, not a curated record.
GCUGCGCUCACAGCGCAAAAAUAUGAAUAUGAUAUCUUGCGCCCAAUCGAAAAAAUUAUUUUAGGAAACUUAGUGAGAGAGCCUUCAUAGAUGGAUCCUAGUCUACGUUAACACAAGAAGAGACAAUCAGCUCUGCUAUUAAUGGACAAAACACGGAAACUUAGUCUGCUUGAUGGUACUCUUCCAAAAAUGCCUUUCGUUUAGAUUCUGUUUCAAAAAUAGGACUCCAAAGGGAUCUGACUGAACUUGUUGGGGUCAAAAUUCAGCAAGGAUACUACACCAAACGCAACAACAGCAUCGAACUUCAUCAUGCUACGUAGAUGUACAGCGAUAGGUAAACACUGAAGUGAUUACAUCGACUUAAAUAGGGCAAGCGAUACAGCAGACCAAAUGUCGCAAUCUCGGUACGAUUACUGGUGACUUUACAUCCUGAGGCAAACGAUUUAAAGUUUCUUUCUUAGAUCAUUAAGACAAUGAAAAAACAUCUUUCAUGGCAACAGAUUCUUCAAUUAUACAAAACGAAACGUAAAUGAUUAUUUGUUUGAUAGAAGCAACAGGGUAUAUUUAGCAAGCCGAAUAUGUUUCUGUUCAAGGCUCUAUUUUAUCUUAGUUCGAGUUAACAUUUCUUCAAUUUAAACGUUAUAUGCACCUCUCUAAAGAGGUUUCCCAACUAUGUUAAGAAUGAGUCUUCAACCAAAAAACCUCUUUCGUUUUUCGAAGUGAACGAAAGUGUCUCAAGAGCCAUUCGAUGCUUUUCGCCCCCUCUUACAAAGUCGGAAAACUCAUUUGAAUUACAAAUGAUUUUCAAAUAUUGAUAUUAAUUUCUACGAGCAGUCUUGCACGUGGAAAGAGGCAAGAACUACAAGAAAUUUCAGCGUCUUUUUCAGCUUCUCUGGGGCCACGAAACACAUCAUUUCGACGUUGUAACCUUACAUAUGGUCCGCUCUGUUAAGUUUGGCGUGUGUUUCUUGACGUUGCUGACCUAGGUGGUUCAAAUUCGACGUCGAGGAUUCAUGGAAGUCAUUUUGUCACGAUUCUUCUUGAGAAAGCGUCAAACAUGGAAUUAAAGAGCUUCUGGAGAUCAGGCAAUUCAAGCCAAGAUUAAAAAAGGAUAACUUCUAACAAGUACUAGUCCGUCUUGUGUAUACUUCUGGUUCUUCAAGUGUGAAUCAAACAAGAAAGACUUUUACUCCAUCGAAGAUAGAAGAUUCAAUCCGAGGAAACAAUACAAGCAUAAUACAUUUUUCUCAAGAAUGCGGCGAGUCAACGCUUACAACUAGCUGGACUUGAAGACAAAUGUAA